AUUGAACGCUGGCGGCAGGCCUAACACAUGCAAGUCGAGCGAGCGGCGGACGGGUGAGUAAUGUCUGGGAAACUGCCUGAUGGAGGGGGAUAACUACUGGAAACGGUAGCUAAUACCGCAUACCAUCAGAUGUGCCCCGAUGGGAUAAGCUAGUGGGGGGGGUAACGGCUCACCUAGGCGACGAUCCCUAGCUGGUCUGAGAGGAUGCCCAGCCCCUCUGGAACUGAGACACGGUCCAGACUCCGACGGGAGGCAGCAGUGGGGAAUAUUGCACAAUGGGCGCAAGCCUGAUGCAGCCAUGCCGCGUGUAUGAAGAAGGCCUUCGGGUUGUAAAGUACUUUCAGCGGGGAGGCGUUACCCGCAGAAGAAGCACCGGCUAACUCCGUGCCAGCAGCCGCGGAAUUC
Molecule: ribosomal RNA, 405 nt
Filed under: uncultured bacterium
Lineage: Bacteria
Description: partial 16S ribosomal RNA
Rfam family: Bacterial small subunit ribosomal RNA
Source: RNAcentral